RNAcentral lists this transfer RNA (74 nucleotides) under Archangium sp. RNAcentral's name for it is "tRNA-Arg". It matches the Rfam family "tRNA". From Rfam's summary of the family: Transfer RNA (tRNA) molecules are approximately 80 nucleotides in length. Their secondary structure includes four short double-helical elements and three loops (D, anti-codon, and T loops). Further hydrogen bonds mediate the characteristic L-shaped molecular structure. tRNAs have two regions of fundamental functional importance: the anti-codon, which is responsible for specific mRNA codon recognition, and the 3' end, to which the tRNAs corresponding amino acid is attached (by aminoacyl-tRNA synthetases). tRNAs cope with the degeneracy of the genetic code in two manners: having more than one tRNA (with a specific anti-codon) for a particular amino acid; and 'wobble' base-pairing, i.e. permitting non-standard base-pairing at the 3rd anti-codon position. The record is from RNAcentral. Lineage: Bacteria; Pseudomonadati; Myxococcota; Myxococcia; Myxococcales; Archangiaceae.
GCUCCGUUAGCUCAGCUGGAUAGAGCGUUGGACUACGAAUCCAAAGGCCGGAGGUUCGAAUCCUCCACGGAGCG